This 1450-nucleotide ribosomal RNA is filed under the name uncultured organism. RNAcentral describes it as "16S ribosomal RNA". It matches the Rfam family "Bacterial small subunit ribosomal RNA". The record is from RNAcentral.
GGCGGCGUGCUUAACACAUGCAAGUCGAACGGAAAGGCCCUGCUUUUGUGGGGUGCUCGAGUGGCGAACGGGUGAGUAACACGUGAGUAACCUGCCCUUGACUUUGGGAUAACUUCAGGAAACUGGGGCUAAUACCGGAUAGGAGCUCCUGCUGCAUGGUGGGGGUUGGAAAGUUUCGGCGGUUGGGGAUGGACUCGCGGCUUAUCAGCUUGUUGGUGGGGUAGUGGCUUACCAAGGCUUUGACGGGUAGCCGGCCUGAGAGGGUGACCGGCCACAUUGGGACUGAGAUACGGCCCAGACUCCUACGGGAGGCAGCAGUGGGGAAUAUUGCACAAUGGGCGGAAGCCUGAUGCAGCAACGCCGCGUGCGGGAUGACGGCCUUCGGGUUGUAAACCGCUUUCGCCUGUGACGAAGCGUGAGUGACGGUAAUGGGUAAAGAAGCACCGGCUAACUACGUGCCAGCAGCCGCGGUGAUACGUAGGGUGCGAGCGUUGUCCGGAUUUAUUGGGCGUAAAGGGCUCGUAGGUGGUUGAUCGCGUCGGAAGUGUAAUCUUGGGGCUUAACCCUGAGCGUGCUUUCGAUACGGGUUGACUUGAGGAAGGUAGGGGAGAAUGGAAUUCCUGGUGGAGCGGUGGAAUGCGCAGAUAUCAGGAGGAACACCAGUGGCGAAGGCGGUUCUCUGGGCCUUUCCUGACGCUGAGGAGCGAAAGCGUGGGGAGCGAACAGGCUUAGAUACCCUGGUAGUCCACGCUGUAAACGGUGGGUACUAGGUGUGGGGUCCAUUCCACGGGUUCCGUGCCGUAGCUAACGCUUUAAGUACCCCGCCUGGGGAGUACGGCCGCAAGGCUAAAACUCAAAGGAAUUGACGGGGCCCCGCACAAGCGGCGGAGCAUGCGGAUUAAUUCGAUGCAACGCGUAGAACCUUACCUGGGUUUGACAUGGAUCGGGAGUGCUCAGAGAUGGGUGUGCCUCUUUUGGGGUCGGUUCACAGGUGGUGCAUGGCUGUCGUCAGCUCGUGUCGUGAGAUGUUGGGUUAAGUCCCGCAACGAGCGCAACCCUUGUUCACUGUUGCCAGCACGUUAUGGUGGGGACUCAGUGGAGACCGCCGGGGUCAACUCGGAGGAAGGUGGGGAUGACGUCAAGUCAUCAUGCCCCUUAUGUCCAGGGCUUCACGCAUGCUACAAUGGCUGGUACAGAGAGUGGCGAGCCUGUGAGGGUGAGCGAAUCUCGGAAAGCCGGUCUCAGUUCGGAUUGGGGUCUGCAACUCGACCUCAUGAAGUCGGAGUCGCUAGUAAUCGCAGAUCAGCAACGCUGCGGUGAAUACGUUCCCGGGGCUUGUACACACCGCCCGUCAAGUCAUGAAAGUUGGUAACACCCGAAGCCGGUGGCCUAACCGUUGUGGGGGAGCCGUCGAAGGUGGGACUGGUGAUUAGGACUAAGUCAUAACAAG